AGAAUUCCAUGAACUCCAUAGUUCAUGGGGUUACAGAGCACUGGACAUGACUGAAAGACUUUCACUUACUUCCUGACUUUAUAGGUCAUCAUGGUUGCCCAACAGAAAGAACUUCCAGGUGAUUCUGCACAUUUCAUCAUCAAAUUCAAAAUAGAGGAAAUUCCUAGAGAUGCAUUCAAGGAGCAUCUACAGGGACUUCAACUGUGCUGCAGUAAAUCUAGAUUGAAAAUUCAGUCUAUACUUUUCUACUAAACUACACAGUCCCAUGGAUAGAGAUCACUAAUGGAGAAGUGGGAUUAAACUGCUUAGUUCUACCGUUCUCUGAUCCAGGUCAGUGGAGCUCAAGCAGUCAUGGCCAACCACAUCAUGCUCUACACCGGCGCUAAGAUGCCCAUCUUGGGGCUGGGCACCUGGAAGUCCCCUCCAGGCAAAGUGACAGAGGCUGUGAAGGUGGCGAUUGACCUUGGGUACCGUCACAUUGACUGUGCCCACAUGUACCAGAAUGAGAAUGAGGUGGGUUUGGCCCUCCAGGCAAAGCUGCAGGAGAAGGUGGUGAAGCGUGAGGACCUCUUCAUCGUCAGCAAGCUGUGGUGCACGUAUCAUGACAAGGACCUGGUGAAAGGUGCCUGCCAGAAGACGCUCAGCGGCCUGAAGCUGGACUACCUGGACCUCUACCUCAUCCACUGGCCCACGGGCUUCAAGCCUGGGAAAGACUUCUCCCCGUUGGAUGAGGACAGCAACGUGAUUCCCAGUGAAAAAGAUUUCGUGGAUACCUGGACAGCCAUGGAAGAGCUGGUGGGCGAAGGGCUGGUGAAAGCUAUUGGAGUCUCCAACUUCAGCCAUCUCCAAGUGGAGAAGAUCUUAAGCAAACCUGGCUUAAAAUACAAGCCGGCAGUUAACCAGAUUGAGUGCCACCCAUCCCUCACUCAGGAGAAGUUAAUCCAGCACUGCAACUCCAAAGGCAUUGUGGUGACUGCCUGUAGUCCCCUUGGCUCUCCAGACAGGCCCGGGGCCAAACCCUAGGACCCUUCCAUACUGGAGGACCCCAGGAUCAAAGCGAUUGCAGACAUGCACAAUAAAACCACAGCCCAGGUGCUGAUCCGAUUCCCCGUGCAGAGGAACCUGACCGUGAUCCCCAAGUCAGUGACGCCUGAACGCAUUGCUGACAACUUCCAGGUCUUUGACUUUGAACUGGACAAGGAGGAUAUGAACACCUUGCUCAGCUUCAACAGGGCCUGGAGGGCCUGUGCCUUGGUGAGCUGUGCCUGCCACAGGGAUUACCCCUUUCACGAGGAGUUUUGAAGGAGGUUUGAAGCUGCGGGUCCCUGCCCUUGCCCAGGUGACCUGCCGUCUCCCACCUCACUUCUCUUACGUUUAGCGUAAUUUGGUCCGUGUCCCUCAGUGGUGGGUCAUCAAGGGCUCGGCCAGCUUGGUGUCGGGUCCAAAGAGCAGAAUCAGUAGAUUAGUAGAAAUCUUUUCAGUUUUCCUUUGCCCUUCUAGUCUGGAGAACUGGGGAACAUGCAACCCAAAUACUCUUUUCUAAAUUGCAUUUACAGAAUCAGAAUAGUGCCUCUAACAGUGGGGUUUUGAUUGCUUGGAACUGUAAUCCUUUCAGCUAGACUUUUCUUUGCCUCAAAUAAAAAGUGCUCUUACGAGUUUGAAAAA
Non-coding RNA from Odocoileus virginianus texanus, 1665 nucleotides. Lineage: Eukaryota; Metazoa; Chordata; Mammalia; Artiodactyla; Cervidae. The record is from RefSeq and is a predicted model, not a curated record.